This 460-nucleotide ribosomal RNA is filed under the name uncultured bacterium. Its description in RNAcentral is "partial 16S ribosomal RNA". It matches the Rfam family "Bacterial small subunit ribosomal RNA", at positions 338 to 795 of the family's 1533-position model. The record is from RNAcentral.
CCUACGGGGGACAGCAGUGAGGAAUAUUGGUCAAUGGGCGCUAGCCUGAACCAGCCAAGUAGCGUGAAGGAUGACUGCCCUAUGGGUUGUAAACUUCUUUUAUAUGGGAAUAAAGUGCAGUAUGUAUACUGCUUUGCAUGUACCUUAUGAAUAAGGAUCGGCUAACUCCGUGCCAGCAGCCGCGGUAAUCCGGAGGAUCCGAGCGUUAUCCGGAUUUAUUGGGUGUAAAGGGAGCGUAGGCGGGUUGUUAAGUCAGUUGUGAAAGUUUGCGGCUCAACCGUAAAAUUGCAGUGGAUACUGGCAGCCUUGAGUACAGUAGAGGUAGGCGGAAUUCGUGGUGUAGCGGUGAAAUGCUUAGAUAUCACGAAGAACUCCGAUUGCGAAGGCAGCCUGCUGGACUGUAACUGACGCUGAUGCUCGAAAGUGUGGGUAUCAAACAGGAUUAGAUACCCCAGUAGUC